Molecule: long non-coding RNA, 277 nt
Organism: Schistocerca cancellata (South American locust)
Lineage: Eukaryota; Metazoa; Arthropoda; Insecta; Orthoptera; Acrididae
Exons: 3
Source: RefSeq, a predicted model, not a curated record
CUGCUCGUCAUUUGUAAGCCGUGUGUUGGUGGGAGAACGUCGUGUUGUUGUUUGUGCCGAACGCGUCGCGCCGCUUGUUGUGAUAUAUACAACGUGACAGCCGCUGCUUUUCACCAUGAAUGAAGAGAACCUUCAUCUCGCCCAGGCUAUGGUUGGUAUGGAUUUAGAAGACCGGCCACAGUCUCCAAAGAAAACUGUUGUAGGAAGAGUGCAAGAGAAGCUUCAAGGUUUCAGCCUCAAGGUGGAGCAGUGUGUGAAGACAAGCGUCGACAGAAGG